AGCUUAAUUGGCUUAGUGUCGACUUCAAUAAUUGGAAAGACUGGGAAGAUGAUUCAGAUGAAGACAUGUCUAAUUUUGAUCGUUUCUCUGAGAUGAUGAACAACAUGGGUGGUGAUGAGGAUGUAGAUUUACCAGAAGUAGAUGGAGCAGAUGAUGAUUCACAAGACAGUGAUGAUGAAAAAAUGCCAGAUCUGGAGUAAGGAAUAUUGUCAUCACCUGGAUUUUGAGAAAGAAAAAUAACUUCUCUGCAAGAUUUCAUAAUUGAGAGAAUUCCUGAGUUGAUAGCUCUAAAGGCAGAUAUGCUGUAUUUGCCUACUUUAACCCAUUUUUCAACCUGUUUGUUUUUUAAAAGGCUUCACUAAGGGUUGAUAUGUACCAUUGUAUGGGGCAAUUUUAAGUCAGCUAAGGCAAUAACCUUAUGCAUGAACAUUUCCCAGACUUUCAUGAAGCUGUUGAGGUCCUAGGCAAUUAAUGCAGCAGUUGCGAUAAAUAAAAACAUCUCACCUAAGUCUCCUUUUCUUCAUAACAUAGAUACUGACAUGAUAGGAAGCUCUCAGCUUAGGGAAAGAGAAUAAAUUUUAGAUUAUAGAACAUGGAUUCAAAAGUGACUGGAACAAAUUGGCUGACACCUUACUGGUAACCUGCUAUUCUUCUGGUGUUAUCCUUCAGGAUUGUUCCACUAAAAUUUAUUUUUCAAAAAAUUUACUUCACAUUAUUCUAUGUAAGUGAUGACUUGUCAGUGUUCCAGGUGUAUCUUAGCUAAAACUAGAGAAUGCCCUAACUUAGAUGGUUUUUGAAGCCUAUACAAUUGGUAUUGUUUGACCCUUAAGCUUUUACAUCUCUUAGCAUGGAGGACGAAGAAAGCUGUACAUUGUUGCUUGAGAGUCUGUACAUUUAGUCCAGAUUUGUAUUUGCACUGUCAGUAUGGCAAAUGAGUGAAAAAUGUUUAAUACACUAUUGGAUUUUUUAUUUCCUUUUUUUGAUUCAGCUUAUACCCGGGCUGAAAACCUCAAUUUAUGUUCAUGACAGUGGGGAUUUUUUUAAAUGUCUA
Molecule: long non-coding RNA, 1051 nt
Filed under: Homo sapiens (human)
Lineage: Eukaryota; Metazoa; Chordata; Mammalia; Primates; Hominidae
Description: long non-coding RNA NONHSAT163614.1
Source: RNAcentral